This 489-nucleotide ribosomal RNA is filed under the name uncultured bacterium. Its description in RNAcentral is "partial 16S ribosomal RNA". It matches the Rfam family "Bacterial small subunit ribosomal RNA", at positions 30 to 507 of the family's 1533-position model. The record is from RNAcentral.
UUGAACGCUGGCGGCAGGCCUAACACAUGCAAGUCGAGCGGCAGCGGAAAGUAGCUUGCUACUUUGCCGGCGAGCGGCGGACGGGUGAGUAAUGUCUGGGAAACUGCCUGAUGGAGGGGGAUAACUACUGGAAACGGUAGCUAAUACCGCAUAACGUCGCAAGACCAAAGAGGGGGACCUUCGGGCCUCUUGCCAUCAGAUGUGCCCAGAUGGGAUUAGCUAGUAGGUGGGGUAACGGCUCACCUAGGCGACGAUCCCUAGCUGGUCUGAGAGGAUGACCAGCCACACUGGAACUGAGACACGGUCCAGACUCCUACGGGAGGCAGCAGUGGGGAAUAUUGCACAAUGGGCGCAAGCCUGAUGCAGCCAUGCCGCGUGUAUGAAGAAGGCCUUCGGGUUGUAAAGUACUUUCAGCGGGGAGGAAGGUGUUGAGGUUAAUAACCUCAGCAAUUGACGUUACCCGCAGAAGAAGCACCGGCUAACUCCGUG